ACAUCCCGGAUAUAUAGCCCGGAUAAGUUUAACUUGCACGUGCACGGUAGACCAUUCUCACGUGCACAAAUGGCUAGUAGUUCGAAAUGUGAGGUGCUAUGCUGACAGAUCGUGGGAAUUGCGCUUUCUCUGCGAGCAGUUACCACACUCAGUAAGCAACAGUGGCUAGUGAAGGGAGAGCCCCAAUAUGGGAAAUGUUGGUUGCUACAAACCGUUUUCUUUGCAGAAAUCGACUUUCUCGAGAAACAAUUGACUCCAGAAAAGCUUUGCGUGAUGCAGUUAUUAUACAAGACGGCAGAAAUCAAGGAAUAUGAACAAUCCAGGACAUUUGUUGUUGUGAAUUCAGUUAAUAUGUAGUGAUUCUAGAUGAGUAACCUGGAUAACUUCCAUUAUUGCACCUGCCAGAAGACGAAUUACAUGUGUGGUUUAGGCAUAAGUCACCUAUGUUUUGAUUAGUUAACAUUUCUGGAUCUCGAUAAGUUCAUCUUUCGAGAUUCUCCAGAGUUACACAGAAAGUGCCUAUUCUUCAGGGAGCUGCCGUGACCAAUUUUCUGAAGAAAUGAGUGCAACUAAGUUUGUAUAGCUGCAUUGCAGUUUGACUCGUAGUGCUUUUAGCUAUUGUACUUUGUACAUUUGAUAGAUUAUUUGCAGGAUCUUUUGGGAGACCAGCCAUGCUGAAAGUGAUUUCUGAAUAGAUUUGCAUACAUGAUGAUGGUGGGUGUAUCUAUUUAUAUCUAUAAUGCUCACUUGAGCGAUCUGCCAUUCAUUGUGUCCCUGGCUGUUAGAUUGGGAGUCUUCUCAGAUAGGGCUCCAUAUAUGAGGGCUAGCUGUUACAGUAAUUCUGGUUUCAAAACUUGAUAAAUACCAAAGGGCGGUGUUUCUUUACUAUGAUGAGAUGGAGCAGUUGAUGAUGCAUAUUCACAGUAUCUUAUACCAUGCUCA
Molecule: long non-coding RNA, 942 nt
Organism: Corticium candelabrum
Lineage: Eukaryota; Metazoa; Porifera; Homoscleromorpha; Homosclerophorida; Plakinidae
Exons: 4
Source: RefSeq, a predicted model, not a curated record